Molecule: non-coding RNA, 46 nt
Filed under: Trichobilharzia regenti
Lineage: Eukaryota; Metazoa; Platyhelminthes; Trematoda; Strigeidida; Schistosomatidae
Source: RNAcentral
GUACUGAUGAAGAGUCCCAAACUAAAGCGAAACAGCUGUCCAGUAC